UACGUAGGGAGCGAGCGUUGUCCGGAAUUACUGGGCGUAAAGGGCGCGUAGGCGGGGUUUCAAGCAAGGUGUGAAAACUAUGGGCUCAACCCAUAGCCUGCACUUUGAACUGGGACUCUUGAGGGCAGGAGAGGAAAGUGGAAUUCCUAGUGUAGCGGUGAAAUGCGUAGAUAUUAGGAGGAACACCAGUGGCGAAGGCGACUUUCUGGACUGUACCUGACGCUGAUGCGCGAAAGCGUGGGGAGCAAAC
RNAcentral lists this ribosomal RNA (250 nucleotides) under uncultured prokaryote. Its description in RNAcentral is "partial 16S ribosomal RNA". It matches the Rfam family "Bacterial small subunit ribosomal RNA", at positions 524 to 773 of the family's 1533-position model. The record is from RNAcentral.